This 429-nucleotide ribosomal RNA is filed under the name bacterium. Its description in RNAcentral is "partial 16S ribosomal RNA". It matches the Rfam family "Bacterial small subunit ribosomal RNA", at positions 355 to 776 of the family's 1533-position model. The record is from RNAcentral.
UAGGGAAUCUUCGGCAAUGGGGGCAACCCUGACCGAGCAACGCCGCGUGAGUGAAGAAGGUUUUCGGAUCGUAAAGCUCUGUUGUAAGAGAAGAACGUGUGUGAGUGUGGAAAGUUCACACAGUGACGGUAACUUACCAGAAAGGGACGGCUAACUACGUGCCAGCAGCCGCGGUAAUACGUAGGUCCCGGGCGUUGUCCGGAUUUAUUGGGCGUAAAGCGAGCGCAGGCGGUUUAAUAAGUCUGAAGUUAAAGGCAGUGGCUUAACCAUUGUUCGCUUUGGAAACUGUUAAACUUGAGUGCAGAAGGGGAGAGUGGAAUUCCAUGUGUAGCGUUGAAAUGCGUAGAUAUAUGGAGGGACACAGGUGGCGAAAGCGGGGCUCUGGUCUGUAACUGACGCUGAGGCUCGAAAGCGUGGGGAGCAAAGAGG